RNAcentral lists this non-coding RNA (24 nucleotides) under Arabidopsis thaliana (thale cress). Lineage: Eukaryota; Viridiplantae; Streptophyta; Magnoliopsida; Brassicales; Brassicaceae. The record is from RNAcentral.
AUAAGGUUUAUCAUCAUCUUCCCU